GAGUCGAGUUAUUUGGGACUAUAGCUCUAAUAGUUUGGUUGGUGGUAAUGACACAUCAAAGGCUAAAUAUUGGUUAGUCGAUGCAUUUUACGGAGACCGAUAGCAUACAAGUACCGUAAGGGAACGAUGAAAAGCACCCUAUUAAGUUCACGGUGUCGGCCGCGUACAAUUCGUUGUACAACGCCGCGCCCAACAACUACAGUGGGAGUGAAAGAGAGAGUGAAAUCGCCUAUACAUAUAAUAUAUACUACGCGGCGUAUACACACACACACACAUAUACCCCCUCGUAUUAUAAGUCUGCGUUAGUACAAUCGGACAGAGUGUCGUAUUAUAGCCGCCUAAUAUACAGUUUCUAAUUGUAUAUUAUGGCUCGGCUCAUAGCGCGCUUCGGCCGCUAUACGCGACACAACUGUACGACCCGUUUUGAAACACGGACCAAGGAGUUCAACUGGAUUACGAGUCGUCGAGUGUAUUUAUUUAUACUCACACGGCAAAGCGAAAGCAAUCUUAAUCCUGUGCUAGGUUGGCGCCUUUGUGCGCUAACCGCAGCACGCGCUGAGUAAGUAUACGCGUGAAACCUUACAAGGUGACGCGCGUACCUUAGAGAGUCAAAUCGCUAAGGAUUACUCAAGCGUUCAACGAGUAUAUCUUGUUGAGACCCGAAAGAUGGUGAACUAUGCUCGGAUAUGGCGAAGUCAGGUGAAAACUUGAUGGAAGCUUGCGUUGUGCGGAACUGACGUGCAAAUCGUUACCGCCUAACCUGAGUAUAGGGGCGAAAGACUCAACGAACCAUCUAGUAGCUGGUUCCCUCCGAAGUUUCCCUCAGGAUAGC
Molecule: ribosomal RNA, 832 nt
Filed under: Ammonia sp. 569
Lineage: Eukaryota; Foraminifera; Rotaliida; Rotaliidae
Description: eukaryotic LSU rRNA
Rfam family: Eukaryotic large subunit ribosomal RNA
Source: RNAcentral